RNAcentral lists this ribosomal RNA (832 nucleotides) under uncultured bacterium. Its description in RNAcentral is "bacterial SSU rRNA". It matches the Rfam family "Bacterial small subunit ribosomal RNA", at positions 63 to 874 of the family's 1533-position model. The record is from RNAcentral.
CGAACGUGAUUAGAGAGCUUGCUCUCUAUGAAAGUGGCGCACGGGUGAGUAACGCGUAGAUAAUCUACCUGAUGAUUCGGGAUAACACUUCGAAAGGGGUGCUAAUACCGGAUAAGCCCACGGAGUCCUUGGACUCUGCGGGAAAAGGGGGGGACCAUUUGGCCUUCCGUCAUCAGAUGAGUCUGCGUACCAUUAGCUAGUUGGUAGGGUAAAGGCCUACCAAGGCGACGAUGGUUAGCUGGUCUGAGAGGAUGAUCAGCCACACUGGAACUGAGACACGGUCCAGACUCCUACGGGAGGCAGCAGUGGGGAAUUUUGCGCAAUGGGGGAAACCCUGACGCAGCAACGCCGCGUGAGUGAUGAAGGCCCUUGGGUCGUAAAGCUCUGACAGAGGGAAAGAAAUGCAGGGGAGCUAAUAUCUCCCUUGCUUGACGGUACCCUCAAAGGAAGCACCGGCUAACUCCGUGCCAGCAGCCGCGGUAAUACGGGGGGUGCAAGCGUUGUUCGGAUUUAUUGGGCGUAAAGCGCGUGUAGGCGGUUUUAUAAGUCUGAUGUGAAAGCCCUGGGCUCAACCCGGGAAGUGCAUUGGAUACUGUAAGACUUGAAUACGGGAGAGGGCAGUGGAAUUCCUAGUGUAGGAGUGAAAUCCGUAGAUAUUAGGAGGAACACCGGUGGCGAANGCGGCUGCCUGGACCGAUAUUGACGCUGAGACGCGAAAGCGUGGGUAGCAAACAGGAUUANAUACCCUGGNUAGUCACGCCGUAAACNAUGAGAACUAGGNGNUGCGGGUAUUGACCCCUGCAGNGCCGUAGCUACGCAUNANUUCUCCCCU